GACGAACGCUGGCGGCGUGCCUAAUACAUGCAAGUAGAACGCUGAAGGAGGAGCUUGCUUCUCUGGAUGAGUUGCGAACGGGUGAGUAACGCGUAGGUAACCUGCCUGGUAGCGGGGGAUAACUAUUGGAAACGAUAGCUAAUACCGCAUAACAGUAGAUGUUGCAUGACAUUUGCUUAAAAGGUGCAAUUGCAUCACUACCAGAUGGACCUGCGUUGUAUUAGCUAGUUGGUGGGGUAACGGCUCACCAAGGCGACGAUACAUAGCCGACCUGAGAGGGUGAUCGGCCACACUGGGACUGAGACACGGCCCAGACUCCUACGGGAGGCAGCAGUAGGGAAUCUUCGGCAAUGGACGGAAGUCUGACCGAGCAACGCCGCGUGAGUGAAGAAGGUUUUCGGAUCGUAAAGCUCUGUUGUAAGAGAAGAACGAGUGUGAGAGUGGAAAGUUCACACU
Molecule: ribosomal RNA, 456 nt
Filed under: Streptococcus mitis
Lineage: Bacteria; Bacillati; Bacillota; Bacilli; Lactobacillales; Streptococcaceae
Description: bacterial SSU rRNA
Rfam family: Bacterial small subunit ribosomal RNA
Source: RNAcentral